This 28-nucleotide non-coding RNA is filed under the name unclassified sequences. The record is from Rfam.
CAACCUCUGGCGAUCACCGUGAAUGUUG